This 203-nucleotide long non-coding RNA is filed under the name Elaeis guineensis (African oil palm). RNAcentral's name for it is "long non-coding RNA (EGUI_LNC040865)". Lineage: Eukaryota; Viridiplantae; Streptophyta; Magnoliopsida; Arecales; Arecaceae. The record is from RNAcentral.
GAGAAAAACCUUUUUUUUUUAAUUUUCUGCUGUAAAACCAGCAAGAGAGGCUCUAUUUGAUGCCUAAAAACUAGCAAGUAAAGCUUCCAAAAAUUCUUUCCAAAGAGGCAUGAGAUGAAGGCUUGGCGUGUGGGACUUGAGGUGUCCAACUCUUGGACACCCCCUCCUUUUUAGGCGACAUGGAGAAAGGGAGGAUGCCCUCU